This 244-nucleotide ribosomal RNA is filed under the name Bigelowiella natans. RNAcentral describes it as "partial Bacterial large subunit ribosomal RNA". It matches the Rfam family "Bacterial large subunit ribosomal RNA", at positions 841 to 1084 of the family's 2925-position model. The record is from RNAcentral. Lineage: Eukaryota; Cercozoa; Chlorarachniophyceae.
GGAGAUAGCUGGUUCUCCGCGAAAUCUAUUUAGGUAGAGCGUCUCGUAUUACCUUCGGGGGUAGAGCACUGGAUGGGCUAGGGGGUCCCAACGACUUACCAAACCUAACCAAACUCCGAAUACCGAAGAGUAGAGCGAGGCAGACACACUGCGGGUGCUAAGGUCCGUAGUGGAGAGGGAAACAGCCCUGACCGCCAGCUAAGGUCCCUAAGUUAUCACUAAGUGGGAAACGAUGUGGGAAUGC